Rattus norvegicus (Norway rat) is the source of this 770-nucleotide non-coding RNA. The record is from RefSeq and is a predicted model, not a curated record. Lineage: Eukaryota; Metazoa; Chordata; Mammalia; Rodentia; Muridae.
UUUCUGGGACUUUGAUUUUACCGGGCUAAAGAGGACAGUGUGUGAAAGAAAUGGCUGAGAGGCAGUUGGACUGUGCGGAUCUGGUUCUGUUGCCCGCUCAGAGUGGGAACUCGAAGGGCCCGGAGAAUGAGAUGUAUGUGAGGUGUGCGUGCGUGCGUGCGUGCGUGCGUGCGUGCGUGCGUGCGUGCGUGCGUGCGUGCGUGUGCGCGCGCAGGCGUGGUAACAGAGAGGAUGGCUAAAAGGGAGACAGCCAGGAGAGGGCGGCAUGUGGACCUCUUGGCAGAGGAGCAGCCGGAGUGAGUGGAUUCCGCCUCGUGGGGACCGGUAGCCGCCGAUCCAUUUUAAUUUUUACCGCAACAAAUUAUGAGCCUAAAACAUGCUCCAAAAGGGACAUUCUGUGGAGGUUUGAGCUUUAGAAGUUAAAGGAAGCGCUACAGAAGAGGACUGUCACAUUGAAUAUUUUUACAUGCAUGGGAUUGCAAAAAAAAAAAAAAUUCAAACUACCUGAUUACAUACAGAAGAUGGGUGUUGCAUAGAUUCCAGAAGAGCAAAGUGAUGCUACACCAACACAAAGCCCAAAAACCAACAAUAAGGACAGCCUACAGAGUGUCACAACCAUAAGAGUGUGACAGGUAGAGUCUCCCAGCCCAAGUCUACUUUCAAGGACUUGGCCCUUGGCUCUCCUUAGCUACUUUGACCCUGAGGAGGGUGGUCAUCGGGAAUGUUGAAUAAUGAAUAAAGCAGGUGUCUUAGCUGCUUUUAUUAAUGAA